Molecule: small RNA, 598 nt
Filed under: Lasiodiplodia theobromae
Lineage: Eukaryota; Fungi; Ascomycota; Dothideomycetes; Botryosphaeriales; Botryosphaeriaceae
Description: eukaryotic LSU rRNA
Rfam family: Eukaryotic large subunit ribosomal RNA
Source: RNAcentral
AUAAGCGGAGGAAAAGAAACCAACAGGGAUUGCCUUAGUAACGGCGAGUGAAGCGGCAACAGCUCAAAUUUGAAAGCUGGCCCUUUUAGGGUCCGCAUUGUAAUUUGUAGAGGAUGAUUCGGCGAGGGCUCCUGCCUAAGUCCCCUGGAACGGGGCGUCAUAGAGGGUGAGAAUCCCGUAUGCGGUAGGUUGCCUUAGCCAUGUGAAUCUCCUUCGACGAGUCGAGUUGUUUGGGAAUGCAGCUCUAAAUGGGAGGUAAAUUUCUUCUAAAGCUAAAUACCGGCCAGAGACCGAUAGCGCACAAGUAGAGUGAUCGAAAGAUGAAAAGCACUUUGGAAAGAGAGUUAAAAAGUACGUGAAAUUGUUGAAAGGGAAGCGCUUGCAACCAGACUUGUCCGCAGUUGCUCAGCCGGUCUCCUGACCGGCGUACUCUUCUGCGGCCAGGCCAGCAUCAGUUCGGGCGGUCGGAUAAAGGCCUCGGGAAUGUGGCUCCUCUCGGGGAGUGUUAUAGCCCGGGGUGCAAUGCGGCCAGCCUGGACUGAGGAACUCGCUUCGGCAAGGAUGCUGGCGUAAUGGUUGUAAGCGGCCCGUCUUGAAA